ACGCUGGCGGCGUGCCUAACACAUGCAAGUCGAACGGACGAGGGGAGCUUGCUCCCUGAGUUAGUGGCGAACGGGUGAGUAACGCGUGAGCAACCUGCCUUUCAGAGGGGGACAACGGUUGGAAACGACCGCUAAUACCGCAUGAAGCAAUCGGACCGCAUGAUCUGAUUGCCAAAGAUUUUAUCGCUGAAAGAUGGGCUCGCGUCUGAUUAGAUAGUUGGUGGGUAACGGCUCACCAAGUCGACGAUCAGUAGCCGGACUGAGAGGUUGAACGGCCACAUUGGGACUGAGAUACGGCCCAGACUCCUACGGGAGGCAGCAGUGGGGAAUAUUGGGCCAAUGGGGGAAACCCUGACCCAGCAACGCCGCGUGAAGGAAGAAGGUUUUCGGAUUGUAAACUCCUGUUUCGAGGGACGAUAAUGACGGUACCUCGGGAGGAAGCUCCGGCUAACUACGUGCCAGCCGCCGC
This 469-nucleotide ribosomal RNA is filed under the name uncultured bacterium. RNAcentral's name for it is "bacterial SSU rRNA". It matches the Rfam family "Bacterial small subunit ribosomal RNA", at positions 33 to 518 of the family's 1533-position model. The record is from RNAcentral.